This 288-nucleotide small nuclear RNA is filed under the name Jaculus jaculus (lesser Egyptian jerboa). RNAcentral describes it as "7SK RNA (ENSJJAG00000003983.1)". It matches the Rfam family "7SK RNA". From Rfam's summary of the family: 7SK was discovered as an abundant small nuclear RNA in the mid-70s but a possible function has only recently been suggested. Lineage: Eukaryota; Metazoa; Chordata; Mammalia; Rodentia; Dipodidae. The record is from RNAcentral.
UGAUAUGAGGAUGAGCUAGCUGAGACACCAGUCAGCCUACUGCCCCAGGCUUGAUUCUGCUGAUCUAGCUGGCUAGGCAGGUUGCCCCUUCCUCCUUUACUGCUCACUGUGUGUCCCUCCUGAAGACCAACAGAGGAGAGAGGAGGACUGUCCUUUGGUCAAAGCUAUAUGAGUAUCUGUGCUCCCCAGCUAGAACCACUAAUUAUGCUCUCUGGGAGCACACUUUGUGAACCUGUCCUAAAACCCUAGAGUGAUAACAAGCAGAGCCUUGAUUUCUCAAGGUUUUCU